UACGUAGGGUGCAAGCGUUGUCCGGAAUUAUUGGGCGUAAAGAGCUCGUAGGCGGUUUGUCGCGUCUGCUGUGAAAACUCGGGGCUUAACCCCGGGCCUGCAGUGGGUACGGGCAGACUAGAGUGCGGUAGGGGAGACUGGAAUUCCUGGUGUAGCGGUGAAAUGCGCAGAUAUCAGGAGGAACACUGGUGGCGAAGGCGGGUCUCUGGGCCGUAACUGACGCUGAGGAGCGAAAGCGUGGGGAGCGAACAGG
This 253-nucleotide ribosomal RNA is filed under the name uncultured bacterium. Its description in RNAcentral is "partial 16S ribosomal RNA". It matches the Rfam family "Bacterial small subunit ribosomal RNA", at positions 524 to 776 of the family's 1533-position model. The record is from RNAcentral.